This 393-nucleotide ribosomal RNA is filed under the name uncultured bacterium. Its description in RNAcentral is "partial 16S ribosomal RNA". It matches the Rfam family "Bacterial small subunit ribosomal RNA", at positions 523 to 918 of the family's 1533-position model. The record is from RNAcentral.
AUACGGAGGAUCCGAGCGUUAUCCGGAUUUAUUGGGUUCAAAGGGUGCGCAGGCGGGAGAUUAAGUCGGCGGUGAAAUUUUGCAGCUCAACUGUAAAAGUGCCUUCGAAACUGGUUUCCUUGAGUGUAGAUGAAGUAGGCGGAAUUUGUGGUGUAGCGGUGAAAUGCAUAGAUAUCACGAGGAACUCCGAUUGCGCAGGCAGCUUACUAAACUACUACUGACGCUCAGGCACGAAGGCGUGGGGAUCAAACAGGAUUAGAUACCCUGGUAGUCCACGCAGUAAACGAUGAUUACUAGCUGUUUGCGAUACAAUGUAAGCGGCUGAGCGAAAGCGUUAAGUAAUCCACCUGGGGAGUACGUUCGCAAGAAUGAAACUUAAAGGAAUUGGCGGGG